UUUUGGGUUGGUGGCUCUACCUUCCAGAGCACAACAGGACACUGUGUACACCUGUAGAGAUUACCUUUCAGAGCUACUGAGAAUGACAUUUAUAAUUUUUUUUCACCACUCAACCCUAUGAGAGUACACACUGAGAUUGGUCCCCAUGGCAGAGUAAUGGUGAAGCAGAUGUCGAGUUUGCUACUCAUGAAGAUGCUAUGGCAACUAUGUCAAAAGACAAAGCAAAUUUGCAACAUAGAUAUGUAUAAUUCUUCUUGAAUUCUACAGCAGGAGCAAGCAGUGGUGCUUAUGGUAGCCAAAUGAUGGGAGGCAUGGGCUUGUCAAACCAGUCCAGUUAUGGUGACCCAGCUGAGUGGUGGUUAUGGAGACAGCUAUGGCAGACAGAGCAGCAUGAGUGGGUGGAUACGACCAAGUUUUAC
RNAcentral lists this long non-coding RNA (419 nucleotides) under Marmota monax (woodchuck). The record is from RNAcentral. Lineage: Eukaryota; Metazoa; Chordata; Mammalia; Rodentia; Sciuridae.